GCUUAGCCUUAAACACAGAUAAUUCCAAAAACAGAACUAUUCGCCAGAGUACUACUAGCAAUAGCUUAAAACUCAAAGGACUUGGCGGUGCUUCAUACCCCUCUAGAGGAGCCUGUUCUAUAAUCGAUAAACCCCGAUAAACCUCACCAACCCUUGCUAAUCCAGUCUAUAUACCGCCAUCUCCAGCAAACCCUAAAAAGGACUAAAAGUAAGCUCAACUAUCACACAUAAAGACGUUAGGUCAAGGUGUAACCUAUGGGCUGGGAAGAAAUGGGCUACAUUUUCUARAACAAGAAUACAACCCACCUGAACGAAAACUCCUAUGAAAACUAGGAACUAAAGGAGGAUUUAGUAGUAAAUCARGAGUAGAGUGCUUGAUUGAACAAGGCCAUGAAG
Molecule: ribosomal RNA, 396 nt
Filed under: Hexaprotodon liberiensis (pygmy hippopotamus)
Lineage: Eukaryota; Metazoa; Chordata; Mammalia; Artiodactyla; Hippopotamidae
Description: partial 12S ribosomal RNA
Rfam family: Bacterial small subunit ribosomal RNA (bases 47-396)
Source: RNAcentral